RNAcentral lists this ribosomal RNA (1981 nucleotides) under human oral metagenome. RNAcentral's name for it is "bacterial LSU rRNA". It matches the Rfam family "Bacterial large subunit ribosomal RNA", at positions 1 to 1977 of the family's 2925-position model. The record is from RNAcentral.
UUAAGAUACUAAGAGCAUACGGUGGAUGCCUUGGCGAUAUCUGCCGACGAAGGACGUGACAAGCUGCGAAAAGCUGCGGAGAGAUGCAAAUAAUCGGCGACCCGCAGACAUCCGAAUGGAGCAAUCCGGCUGUGAUGAUGCACAGCCAUCCAUGCCCAAGAGCAUGAGAAGGGAACCGGGCGAACUGAAACAUCUAAGUAACCCGAGGAAAAGAAAUCAAACGAGAUACCCCAAGUAGCGGCGAGCGAACAGGGAAGAAGCCCAAACCGGUGAAGGAAACUUUACCGGGGUUGAGGACCAUCAGACCCGCGAAGAACCUUAGCCGAAACUGUUGGGAAACAGUGCCGAAGACAGUGAAAGCCUGGUAGGCGAAAAAGAGAAACGCGGAGAUGGCACCAGAGUACCGCGGGACACGAGAAAUCCCGUGGGAAGCAGGGGGGACCACCCUCCAAGGCAAAACACAGAUAUCGACCGAUAGCGCAUAGUACCAUGAGGGAAAGGUGAAAAGCACCCCGGGAGGGGAAUGAAAGAGAACCUGAAACCGUAUGUUUACAAGCAGUCGGAGACCGCUUAAUAAUAAGGUCGACGGCGUGCCUAUUGAAGAAUGAACCGGCGAGUUACGAAGCCUGGCAAGGUUAAGCAGGAAAUGCGGAGCCGAAGCGAAAGCGAGUCUUAAGAGGGCGCAAGUCAGGAAGCGUAGACCCGAAACCACAGUGAUCUACCCAUGUCCAGGUUGAAACACAGGUAAAAAUGUGUGGAGGACCGAACCUAUAUCCGUUGAAAAGGGUUAGGAUGAGGUGUGGGUAGGGGUGAAAUUCCAAUCGAACGUGGAGAUAGCUGGUUCUCCCCGAAAUAGCUUUAGGGCUAGCCUCAGGGAAAAGAUUGCAGGCGGUAGAGCACUGAUCAGGAGAGGGACCUACCCGGUUACCAAACCCAGUCAAACUCCGAAUGGCUGCAAUCAUACCUGGGAGUCAGACUGCGACUAAUAAGGGCCGCAGUCAAAAGGGAAACAGCCCAGACCAUCAGCUAAGGUCCCCAAUGCCGUGCUAAGUGGAAAAGGAUGUGGCAUUUCAUAAACAACCAGGAUGUUGGCUCAGAAGCAGCCACCAUUUAAAGAGUGCGUAAUAGCUCACUGGUCGAGAGACGCUGCGCCGAAAAUGUCCGGGGCUCAAGCACGGAACCGAAGCUAUGGCAUGAUAGCAAUAUCAUGGGUAGGGGAGCGUUCUUAUAAGGAAGAAGCAUGACCGGAAGGACAUGUGGACAAAUAAGAAGUGAGAAUGCCGGUAUGAGUAUCGAAAAGAAAGGUGAGAAUCCUUUCCACCGAAAGCCCGAGGGUUCCUGAGCAACGAUCGUCGACUCAGGGUAAGUCGGGACCUAAGCCGAGGCGAGAAGCGUAGGCGAUGGACAACAGGUUGAAAUUCCUGUACCGGAUCAAGUCGAUCGAGCGAAGGAGCGACGCAGGAGGGCACAUGAUCGCGCGGCUGGAAGAGCGCGUCCAAGUGCGUAUGUUGCAGCAGAGGAAAACCCCUGCAGCUGAAAGCAGAGACAUGAUGGGGAGUUAAAGGAAACUUUGACGAACUCAUGGAUCCCACACUGCCAAGAAAAACUUCUAGCGAGACAAGAUCCGCCCGUACCGUAAACCGACACAGGUAGGCGGGGAGAGAAUCCUAAGGUGCGCGGGAAAACCCUCGUUAAGGAACUCGGCAAAUUGCAUCCGUAACCUAGGGAGAAGGAUGGCCCCCGGUCAGUGAAGAGCAGAAACGCUCAGAGCUAAAAGGGGCGGCAGAAAAGAGGCCCAAGCAACUGUUUACCAAAAACACAGGUGCCUGCGAAAGCGAAAGCUGAAGUAUAGGUGCUGACGCCUGCCCGGUGCCGGAAGGUUAAGGAGAGAAGUUAGCGAAAGCGAAGCAUCGAACUGAAGCCCCGGUGAACGGCGGCCGUAACUAUAACGGUCCUAAGGUAGCGAAAUUCCUUGUCGGGU